CCUUGAGUGGGGAAUAANUCCGCGAAAGCGGAGCUAAUACCGCAUACGAUCGCGUGCUCACGGGUGCGCGAGGAAAGUCGCAAGGCGCUCGAGGAUGGGCCUGCGUCCGAUUAGCUAGUUGGUGAGGUAAAGGCUCACCAAGGCGACGAUCGGUAGCUGGUNUGAGAGGAUGAUCAGCCAGACUGGGACUGUGACACGGCCCAGACUCCUACGGGAGGCAGCAGUUAGGAAUNUUGGGCAAUGGGCGAAAGCCUGACCCAGCAACNCCGCGUGGGUGANNNAGGCCUUCGGGUCGUAAANCCCUUUUGCACGNGNAGAUAANGACGGUNCCGUGCGAAUAAGCCCCGGCUAAUNACGUGCCAGCAGCCGCGGUAAUACGUAGGGGGCGAGCGUUGUCCGGAUUUAUUGGGCGUAAAAGGCUUGUAGGUGGCCACGCCAAGUCGGAUGUGAAAUCUCCCGGNUCAACUGGGAGGGGUCAUUCGAUACUGGCGGGCUCGAGGCCGGUAGGGGGAAGUGGAAUUCCCGGUGUAGUGGUGGAAUGCGUAGAUAUCGGGAGGAACACCAGUGGCGAGGGCGGCUUCCUGGACCGGUUCUGACACUGAGGAGCGAAAGCGUGGGGAGCGAUCCGGAUUAGAUACCCGGGUAGUCCACGCCGUAAACGUUGGGCACUAGGUGUCGGGGGUAUCGACCCCUCCGGUGCCGCAGCUAACGCAUUAAGUGCCCUGCCUGGC
This 731-nucleotide ribosomal RNA is filed under the name uncultured bacterium #0319-7H7. Its description in RNAcentral is "bacterial SSU rRNA". It matches the Rfam family "Bacterial small subunit ribosomal RNA", at positions 130 to 877 of the family's 1533-position model. The record is from RNAcentral. Lineage: Bacteria; Bacillati; Actinomycetota; Actinomycetes.